This 336-nucleotide ribosomal RNA is filed under the name uncultured bacterium. Its description in RNAcentral is "bacterial SSU rRNA". It matches the Rfam family "Bacterial small subunit ribosomal RNA", at positions 18 to 344 of the family's 1533-position model. The record is from RNAcentral.
CAUGGCUCAGGACGAACGCUGGCGGCGUGCCUAAUACAUGCAAGUAGAACGCUGAAGAGAGGAGCUUGCUCUUCUUGGUUGAGUUGCGAACGGGUGAGUAACACGUAGGUAACCUGCCUGGCAGCGGGGGAUAACUAUUGGAAACGAUAGCUAAUACCGCAUGAUAUUAAUUAUUGCAUGAUAAUUGAUUGAAAGAGGCAAUGGCUUCACUACCAGAUGGACCUGCGUUGUAUUAGCUAGUUGGUGAGGUAACGGCUCACCAAGGCGGCGAUGCAUAGCCGACCUGAGAGGGUGAUCGGCCACACUGGGACUGAGACACGGCCCAAACUCCUACGG